RNAcentral lists this ribosomal RNA (438 nucleotides) under uncultured bacterium. RNAcentral's name for it is "partial 16S ribosomal RNA". It matches the Rfam family "Bacterial small subunit ribosomal RNA", at positions 339 to 795 of the family's 1533-position model. The record is from RNAcentral.
CUACGGGGCGCAGCAGUGAGGAAUAUUGCACAAUGGGGGGAACCCUGAUGCAGCAACGCCGCGUGGAGGAUGACGCAUUUCGGUGUGUAAACUCCUUUUAUAUGUCAAGAAAAUGACGGUAGCAUAUGAAUAAGCACCGGCUAACUCCGUGCCAGCAGCCGCGGUAAUACGGAGGGUGCAAGCGUUACUCAGAAUCACUGGGCGUAAAGGACGCGUAGGCGGGUUGGAAAGUCAGGUGUGAAAUCCUACAGCUUAACUGUAGAACUGCACUUGAAACUUCUAAUCUAGAGUAUGGGAGGGGGAGAUGGAAUUAGUGGUGUAGGGGUAAAAUCCGUAGAUAUCACUAGGAAUACCUAAAGCGAAGGCGAUCUCCUGGAACAUUACUGACGCUAAGGCGUGAAAGCGUGGGGAGCAAACAGGAUUAGUACCCUUGUAGUC